This 1061-nucleotide ribosomal RNA is filed under the name Rodentolepis nana. RNAcentral's name for it is "SSU rRNA". It matches the Rfam family "Eukaryotic small subunit ribosomal RNA", at positions 95 to 899 of the family's 1831-position model. Lineage: Eukaryota; Metazoa; Platyhelminthes; Cestoda; Cyclophyllidea; Hymenolepididae. The record is from RNAcentral.
GGCUCAUUAAAUCAGCUAUGGUUUAUUGGAUCAUACUCGUUAAAUGGAUAACUGUAAUAACUCUAGAGCUAAUACAUGCCACGAAGCCCUGACCCCGGGCUCCCUCGGGGAAUGGGUGCACUUAUUAGAACAGAAGCCAACCAGUCUCCGCGUGCAUUCCCUCCUUCGGGAGGUGUGUGCGCGGGCUGCAGCACUUCUGGUGACUCUGGAUAAUUGUUACAGAUCGCAGUCGGCUUUACGUCGGCGACGGGUCCUUCAAAUGUCUGCCCUAUCAACUUUCGAUGGUAGGUGACCUGCCUACCAUGGUGAUAACGGGUAACGGGGAAUCAGGGUUCGAUUCCGGAGAGGGAGCCUGAGAAACGGCUACCACUUCCAAGGGAGGCAGCAGGCGCGCAAAUUACCCACUCCCGGUACGGGGAGGUGGUGACGAAAAAUACCGAUGCGGGACUCAUUUACGAGGCUCCGUAAUCGGAAUGAGUGGACUCUAAAUCCUUUCACGAGGAUCAAUUGGAGGGCAAGUCUGGUGCCAGCAGCCGCGGUAACUCCAGCUCCAAUAGCGUAUAUUAAAGUUGCUGCAGUUAAAAAGCUCGUAGUUGGAUCUCGGUAGCAUUGUUGCCUGCUCAGUUGUCAUGCUCUGCGGCGUGCAUCACAUCGUGUGGGUCGGCUGUGCAUUGUCCACGCUCCUAUGGGGGCUGGGCGUGUGCGCUUGGCUUCAUCACGGUGGGUGUACACAAAAACCGCAGUGUAUUGAGCUGGCGUGGCGAUGGUGCCACCUUUGAGCCAUGUCUGUGGUGUAACAGCCACAGGUGUAUGCGAGUGUCGGGCAGUGCUCUGCACCUUCUGUGGGGCCUAGCCGGCUCGCCUGCAUGCCAGUGGAUGCCCUUUAAAAGGUGUUCAUGGGCGGAUGGCACGUUUACUUUGAACAAAUUUGAGUGCUCAAAUCAGGCCGAUGUCGCCUGAAAAGUUUUGCAUGGAAUAAUGGAAUAGGACUUCGGUUCUAUUUCGUUGGUUUUCGGAUCCGAAGUAAUGAUCAAAAGAGACAGGCGGGGACGUUUGUAUGG